CCGAUUGGAUCCAAUCGCUCCUCUCUUCCUUGCUCGCUCUCGCUCCUCUCGCUCCUCUCUCGGUCGUCAAGAGCGCCGCCGCCGCUACCGGCCGCCCUCCCCUCCGCCUCUGCCCACCGAGCCGGCGCCUCCUCCACAUCGCCUUCGUGGCACCCGCCGGGCGUUCCCUUUCCCUAACCGCAGCCGGCCCACGCCGCCGGCCGGACCAACCCAACGCCCGAAGCCUUCCCUGGCUCUCUCUCAGCCGGCUCGCCGCCUGCACCUGCGAGCUGCUGUCCAUCUCCACCGUCCCGCAGCCGCAGGGAUCUACCCCCAUAUCGGCAGCGCGGAUCUUUGUUCCCACGCUCUGCUGCUUCGAUGCACAUGGGUGUCGACGCCCUGCCGGCAGCCUGCUACGCCCUUCCGGUACUCGUCUCUUUGCUCACCAUCCGCUUAUUCUACGUGAUAUGGCGCAGCGGCCAACCAUCGUCGAGGCCGCGCGCCGGCGGAUUGCGUUGUCUCAUCGUCCUCGGCUCCGGGGGGCAUACAGCAGAAAUGAUGAAUAUUGUAACAACGCUUCAGAAGGAUAGGUUCACACCAAGAUUCUAUGUAGCUGCACUUACUGACAACAUGAGCCUUCAGAAGGCACAGGUCUAUGAAGAAUCGCUGAUUGAGGUGGAGGUCACUUAUCAUGUUGCCUUGUACCAAACAUAUGCUGAUAUAUCGUAGUCGUGAAGUAGGCCAAUCUUAUAUCACCUCCAUCGCGACGACAUUGCUAGCCACAUUGCAUGCUAUGUGGCUAGUAAUAAGAAUCAGACCACAAGUGAUAUUUUGCAAUGGUCCAGGGACAUGCUUUCCUCUAUGUGUCUCGGCUUUCUUUCUGAAGGUGCUUGGUAUGGGAUGGUCCUCUAUUUUCUACAUUGAAAGUAUUGCAAGAGUGAAGAAGCUUUCGAUGAGCGGUUUACUGCUGUACAAGCUACGGAUUGCUGACCAGUUUUUCGUGCAGUGGCCCCAGCUGCAUCAAAAGUACCCUCGAGCAUGCUACGCUGGCCGUUUGAUGUGAGAUUCAAACCAUAUCCGACAUUUGGGUGCUGCGUUUUUUCAACUUGAAAGUCUGAUGAUGCUGACUUAGAAAAGAAAUGCUUUACAGACAUUGAUACUUCAUACAUGGGGCAUGUUACUUUAAGAUAAUGUUUGUGGGUGAAAAGUGAAUCAAAGUAGGUUCAUAGAAGUUACCUCUUCCAUACUGUCCUCAAUUGUGCCUGCCCCCCGUUUGACGAUUCUAAUAUAAUAUACAACAUGAAUUCAGCAUUCUUUGA
Panicum virgatum (switchgrass) is the source of this 1298-nucleotide RNA transcript. It is a transcript of the gene named UDP-N-acetylglucosamine transferase subunit ALG14 homolog, with no coding region annotated. NCBI's taxonomy places the organism in Eukaryota, Viridiplantae, Streptophyta, Magnoliopsida, Poales, Poaceae. The record is from RefSeq and is a predicted model, not a curated record. The transcript is spliced from 5 exons.